Oryza sativa Japonica Group (Japanese rice) is the source of this 2648-nucleotide non-coding RNA. NCBI's taxonomy places the organism in Eukaryota, Viridiplantae, Streptophyta, Magnoliopsida, Poales, Poaceae. The record is from RefSeq and is a predicted model, not a curated record.
GAAAUCUAAGAAAAGAAAAGUCUUCUUCCUCUUCCUCCCCUCCUCCCGUCCCCAUCGCCCAAUUCACAUGGCUCUGCGUCUCCACGGCCAAUUCGAUCCAACCCGCGAAGAGAGCCCCCGCUUCUCCCCAUCCAAUUCCGCCACCUGCUCGUUCUCCCAGUUCCUCCUCGCCGCCCCAGCUGACGACGGCCACCUCUGUUCGAUCCACCGCUGACUGGUCCCCCCCGCUCCUGGUUUCGGGGGCGGUUCUUCGAUUCUUGAGAUCUUAGCUCCUUCUUCGACGGCCUCACCGCUGCCAUGGGCAAGAGUAAGAAAAACAAGGGUGGUCGAGGAGGCGGCGGCGGUGGUGGAGAGGACCAAUUUGACGGAGGUAGUGACGUGGAUAGCGUGAGUUCGGUGUCGACGGCGCUGUCCGACCUCCAGCUCGCGCAGGCCACCGAGCAAGUUAGCUCGCAGGAUUUUGUUCUUGACAAAUACAUCGACGAUCUCUAUGAGAAGAGGGGAUCCACAAGAGAGGCAGCAUUAGGCGCUCUUGUUGAUGCUUUUGAAAGUUUUGUGCUACUUGAUUUAGUGGAAAACAAGUAUGCCACACUUUUGAGCCAAUUUAUCAAUUCAAUAAAAAAAGGAUCCAUAAAGGAGGUCUGUCUGGCUUGUCACACCACUGGCUUACUGGCCAUUACACUUGGUGCUGGAAGUAGUUCUCAUGAAAUAAUGGAUGAAUCCCGUCUGCAGCUUCUGAGAGUCCUCCAAACUUGGCCUGAUGCUUCAAAAAUGAUAUCUGCACUUGAUUGCUUAGCUGUUGUCACAUUUGUUGGUGCAACUGAUCUAUCUGAAACCCAGCUAUCUAUGAAAGCCAUCUGGGAUGUGAUUCACCCUAAGUCAGGAUCCAAUGUUGGAAUUGUCAGAAAACCAAAGCCUCCCUUGUUAGCAGCUGCUGUGUCUGCAUGGGCACUUCUUUUGACAACUAUUGUUUCAUCAAAAAGAAACGUUGACUCUUGGAAAGAGUCAAUUACAUUUCUUUCUGCUCUUCUAGAAGCGGAGGACCGUGCUGUGCGGAUGGCUGCUGGUGAAGCAUUAGCACUGUGCUUCGAGUUAAAACUGCUUGAUGUUUUCUCCAAUGAAGAAGUUGAGGUGGACACUGCAGAAGCUAGUGGUUCUAAGAACCAACUUUUCUUGAAUAUGCAAGCAUUGAAGGCCAAAAUAUCUGGUCUAGUCUAUAAUCUCUCUAUGGAAGCGGGGGGAAGAGGUGCUGACAAGAAAAAUCUGAAUGAUCAAAGAGACUUAUUCCAACGAAUCUCAGAUUUUAUUAAGACUGGUGAGUGCCUUGAAGAAUCACUUAGAAUUGCAGGCAAGCAUGGUAUUUUAAGAGUUACAUCAUGGCGUGAAUCAAUACAGUUGAACUAUUUGAGGCGGUUCCUUGGGCGAGGAUUUCUGAAGCAUGCACAAGACAAUGGAUUGCUACAUGAUAUCUUUGACAUCAAAAUGGAUAAAACUGAAAACAUGUCAACCACUGAAAAGGACCGGAGGUGCUCGACGAUGGAGGCAGCGAAAGCUGUUCUAGUGCAUGGCGAGCGCAGCGCUGGCGACAGUGGGUUUAGCGUGGAGUUUAUCCACCAAGAUUUUGCCAGGUCGCCGCUCCAUGAUCCCGUGCUGACCACGAAAAUCCACGUGCUCAGUGCCGUACGUGUGACCGUUCAUGGCAUGUGUCGGCGUGCUCGCAGGAUCUUUUGAAGUGGUGGAUGAUGGUGUCAUGUCGAAGGUCGUGACCUGGUGAUUUGAGUACCUGAUGGCACUCACCGCCUCACCGACACGUUCAAUGAUCGUCAUCGCCAACACAGGCAGUGAGGUUGAACUGGUUAUGUGCAAGUAGGGGAGCAACCACACCAAAAGAGCACCCGGUGACGGAGUGACUCCGGUGAUACAGUUUGACUGGCCAGCAUGUUUGUUCCCUGGAGAUAGGCAUAGGCUGGUUGGCCUCAGCGUGCGCGCUCAACUUUGGCAUAGGGCAUGACAAUCCUCAGUGUACCGUGUUCGACGUUACGAGGUGAUCUGGCGAUGGGUGAAAAAGGGAAAAGGACAGAAAGCGCGAUGUAAUCUGGCGUGAUCUCAACUCAGUGGUCCCGCGUGAUCUUUGAGAACGAGCUAGCACAUCUCAAUCUCGAUCUUUAACGGACGACCUACAAAAGGACUUGCGGGGAAAUAGGAAUCGAAUAAAGGGCUUCCACUCUCGUGAAGCUGUUUUCUACUAGCGAUGGAUGAAAUCUUUUUUCCAAAAUACUUACGUACUCCGUAUUUUUUAAGUAGAAAAUCUAUAGGUCUGGAGAAGAGAAAGGAAGAGCUCUAAAGUUGAAUAAGGAGCGUCGUUUAGCCCAAAUGAGGAAGCAAAAUAUCUUAAACGAGCAAUAAAGGAUAGGGAUGUUCUAUUCUUCCUGGAAUUUUGUAUAGCCGAAAUCCUAUCAGAUAUUGAGUGUGUUUAUAGGCCAAUGUUAAUUCAUUCAAGAGCGUUACAAACUUAAUACAAUAUACAAUGUACUUAUAAAUUAGAACACAAUGUUACUGAAAAAACACUUCUGAAGAAUUAUUUGUAACUUCCUGCUGGUACAGCAGAUUUAAACACGCAGUUGUCUAAACAGUAUUUUCCCUUUCUA